AGUUAAUGAUCUUGAUUAAGUUUAUAUCUUGAAAAUAUAAAAAAGAAAUAAAAAUUUUCUAUUAACUU
This 68-nucleotide transfer RNA is filed under the name Acropyga donisthorpei. Its description in RNAcentral is "tRNA-Ser". The record is from RNAcentral. Lineage: Eukaryota; Metazoa; Arthropoda; Insecta; Hymenoptera; Formicidae.